Non-coding RNA from Camellia sinensis, 288 nucleotides. The record is from RefSeq and is a predicted model, not a curated record. Lineage: Eukaryota; Viridiplantae; Streptophyta; Magnoliopsida; Ericales; Theaceae.
CGGAACAACAGUCCAAAGUACUCCAGCAGAUUUCAGCUCCAUUUGAGGAUUCUCCUCAUGCUUUUAACUCCACAUCCUGAGCAAGUGGUGGUCCAACCAAAAUGCGCAUGUGUUGGACACCUGAGGCCUUUGCUGAAGCAGUCAAUAAACUUGGUGGCAGUGAGAGAUCUUCAGAGAAAAAGUUUACCUGCAUUGAGGAAGUCGCAUCUCUGGACUUGAAAACGGGUAUUGAGCUCACUGAAGCAAUACGAUUACAGAUGGGAGUCCAAAAGCCCUUGCAUGAGCAGU